RNAcentral lists this ribosomal RNA (609 nucleotides) under uncultured bacterium. RNAcentral describes it as "bacterial SSU rRNA". The stretch from base 1 to 538 matches the Rfam family "Bacterial small subunit ribosomal RNA", at positions 338 to 873 of the family's 1533-position model. The record is from RNAcentral.
CCUACGGGAGGCAGCAGUGGGGAAUUUUGGACAAUGGGCGCAAGCCUGAUCCAGCCAUGCCGCGUGCGGGAAGAAGGCCUUCGGGUUGUAAACCGCUUUUGUCAGGGAAGAAAAGGUUCUGGCUAAUACCUGGGACUCAUGACGGUACCUGAAGAAUAAGCACCGGCUAACUACGUGCCAGCAGCCGCGGUAAUACGUAGGGUGCAAGCGUUAAUCGGAAUUACUGGGCGUAAAGCGUGCGCAGGCGGUUAUGCAAGACAGAGGUGAAAUCCCCGGGCUCAACCUGGGAACUGCCUUUGUGACUGCAUAGCUAGAGUACGGUAGAGGGGGAUGGAAUUCCGCGUGUAGCAGUGAAAUGCGUAGAUAUGCGGAGGAACACCGAUGGCGAAGGCAAUCCCCUGGACCUGUACUGACGCUCAUGCACGAAAGCGUGGGGAGCAAACAGGAUUAGAUACCCUGGUAGUCCACGCCCUAAACGAUGUCAACUGGUUGUUGGACGGGUUCUUGCUGUACGUAGACUAAGCUAGAGUUGAACGUCGCGGCGUGGGCGUCGACGUGAAGUUAGAGUUAUUAGAGNGUUGNGNGNGNGAGNGACGACGAGGAGAGAGG